AUGGACUCCGGAAGCAAGUCGGUGAGAAUCUUCUGGGAUAAGUAGAAAUGUCGCCAGCUUUCUACCUCCCCAACAUACGUUACCAAGAAUGUCCUCAAACUUUUGGCUCUUUCAAAUGCCUCGAACUUCUUGUAAGUUACAUAUUCCUCACGAACAAAUGACAUGUGUCGGUACUUUUCCAACAUUUCCUUCCUAAUAUUCUUCUCGUUCUCAUUAUCUAACCUUAAAAAAAACUCAACAGAAACAGAUGUUGCCAAAUCAUUCAUGAGGUCAUGC
RNAcentral lists this long non-coding RNA (276 nucleotides) under Helianthus annuus (common sunflower). RNAcentral describes it as "sRNA HanXRQr2_Chr13g0610821". The record is from RNAcentral. Lineage: Eukaryota; Viridiplantae; Streptophyta; Magnoliopsida; Asterales; Asteraceae.